Molecule: ribosomal RNA, 492 nt
Filed under: uncultured soil bacterium
Lineage: Bacteria
Description: bacterial SSU rRNA
Rfam family: Bacterial small subunit ribosomal RNA
Source: RNAcentral
AGAUUGAACGCUGGCGGCAGGCCUAACACAUGCAAGUCGAGCGGUAGAGAGGUGCUUGCACCUCUUGAGAGCGGCGGACGGGUGAGUAAUGCCUAGGAAUCUGCCUAGUGGUGGGGGAUAACGUUCGGAAACGGACGCUAAUACCGCAUACGUCCUACGGGAGAAAGCGGGGGACCUUCGGGCCUCGCGCCAUUAGAUGAGCCUAGGUCGGAUUAGCUAGUUGGUGAGGUAAUGGCUCACCAAGGCGACGAUCCGUAACUGGUCUGAGAGGAUGAUCAGUCACACUGGAACUGAGACACGGUCCAGACUCCUACGGGAGGCAGCAGUGGGGAAUAUUGGACAAUGGGCGAAAGCCUGAUCCAGCCAUGCCGCGUGUGUGAAGAAGGUCUUCGGAUUGUAAAGCACUUUAAGUUGGAGAAGGUUGUAACUUAAUACGUUGCAACUUUGACGUUACGACAGAAUAAGCACCGGCUAACUUCGUGCCAGCAGCCG